GCUAUAUGUGAAUGCUGGUGCCGAAAGAAACCAAAGAAAUCCCUCUGGGAGACUAAACAUGUAUUCUAUCCAGACUGCUGCUUAGGCACAGAAAAUAAUUGCCUUCAGAUCUGUCGUCCCAGAAACAAACCAAGUAAAGACUCUCUGCCCUUGUGGACCGUGAAGUUUAGUGGGGAAGACUGAUAUUGGACACAGCAUUAUAAAGAAGAAAAUAAUAAUGAAGGAGCCAGCUGAGUUUGGGGUUAGAAAAGGACUCUAGAAAUGAGUUAUUGAGAAAAAAAUACAAAGACAUCCCAAAAGCAGUAAACAGAGCAUAAGCAGAGAGGAGGAGAGAGAGAUGUACAAAUCCCUCAGAAAAUACCAGCAGAGAAGUACAGCUAUACUGGAAAUCACAGUUCAGCGACGG
This 406-nucleotide long non-coding RNA is filed under the name Cricetulus griseus (Chinese hamster). RNAcentral describes it as "lncRNA (ENSCGRG00015030220.1)". The record is from RNAcentral. Lineage: Eukaryota; Metazoa; Chordata; Mammalia; Rodentia; Cricetidae.